This 1203-nucleotide ribosomal RNA is filed under the name metagenome. RNAcentral's name for it is "bacterial SSU rRNA". It matches the Rfam family "Bacterial small subunit ribosomal RNA", at positions 8 to 1176 of the family's 1533-position model. The record is from RNAcentral.
AGAGUUUGAUUCUGGCUCAGAACGAACGCUGGCGGCGUGGAUAAGACAUGCAAGUCGGACGAUCAUUUCAGGGUAGCAAUAUUCUGGAGUGGGAGUGGCGUAAGGGUGCGUAACACGUGGGUAAUUUGCCAUGAAGUUGGGGAUAACUCGCUGAAAGGCGAGCUAAUACCGGAUGUGGCUGCCGAGAGAAUCUUUUGGUAGCUAAAGUUGGGGACCGUAAGGCCUGACGCUUCAUGAUGAGCCCGCGGCCUAUCAGCUAGUUGGUGAGGUAACGGCUCACCAAGGCUAAGACGGGUAGCUGGUCUGAGAGGACGACCAGCCACACUGGAACUGAGACACGGUCCAGACACCUACGGGUGGCAGCAGUCGAGAAUUUUUCACAAUGGGCGAAAGCCUGAUGGAGCGACGCCGCGUGGGGGAUGAAUGGCUUCGGCCCGUAAACCCCUGUCAUUUGCGAUCAAACCUUUCGACCUAAUACGUCGAAAGCUGAUAGUAGCGAAAGAGGAAGGGACGGCUAACUCUGUGCCAGCAGCCGCGGUAAUACAGAGGUCCCAAGCGUUGUUCGGAUUCACUGUGCGUAAAGGGUGCGUAGGUGGUGAGAAAAGUUUGGUGUGAAAGCUUCGAGCCUAACUCGAAAAUGGCAUCAAAAACUUUCUUGCUCGAGGGUUGGAGGGGAGACUGGAAUUCUCGGUGUAGCGGUGAAAUGCGUAGAUAUCGAGAGGAACACCAGUGGCGAAGGCGAGUCUCUGGACAACUCCUGACACUGAGGCACGAAAGCUAGGGGAGCGAACAGGAUUAGAUACCCUGGUAGUCCUAGCUGUAAACGGUGCACAUUUGCCGUGAGCGGAAUCGACCCCGUUCGUGGCGAAGCUAACGCGUUAAAUGUGCCGCCUGGGGAGUACGGUCGCAAGAUUAAAACUCAAAGAAAUUGACGGGGGCCUGCACAAGCGGUGGAGUAUGUGGCUUAAUUCGAUGCAACGCGAAGAACCUUACCUGGCCUUGACAUGCAAGUAGUAGAAGGAUGAAAGUCUAACGACCCCGCAAGGGGAGCUUGCACAGGUGCUGCAUGGCUGUCGUCAGCUCGUGUCGUGAGAUGUUGGGUUAAGUCCCGCAACGAGCGCAACCCCCGUGUCCUGUUGCCACUCCCGCGAGAGCGGGAAGCACUCUGGACAGACUGCCUCGUCUUAACGAGGAGGAAGGUGG